UCCCCAUUAAAUUCAAUUAUAUUACAUUUUAUUUUUCUCUCUUAUUUUUAACCAUACAAUCUUUCAUAAAAUAAUAUUACACGUAAAUCGAAAAACUUUUUAUUUUUUUUACUACUCAUUUUUUUAAAAAAUACUAUUCUCCCCAUUUUCAUUUUCAAGUAAUGGAGAUCAAACAAGAACUUAAUGAGGACCGAACGAGACCUUAUUAUCAUCAUGAUAAUCUAAUUUUAUUUUAUCAUGACCAUCAUACUUUAUAUUUAAUGUCAUAAUCACUAAAUUUGAUUUUAUUUUACUAUGACCACCCAACUUUAUAUUUAUUGUCACUAUGACCAUCAAAUUUGAUUUUAUUUCAUGAUGACUAUUCAAUUUCAAAUAAUGUUUACUACUUAAUUUCAUAUAACGUUUCACCAUAAGUAACUUUCUUUACAUUUUUCACUAAUUUAAAAAAUAUAUAAAACAAAAACAGCUAUGCUACCUACACAGCUCAAUUUGCACAGGACCUGUACAAAGUCACCCACAUGAAGGUGGAGCUUUCUCUGAACAACGCUGUCACGUGAGAGGUGGACCCCAUGUACAAGGACACCCACAUGAAAGUGGAGCUUUUUCUGAACAAGGCUGUCACAUGGGAGGUGGAAUUCACCCCUAUGUGUACGACUCUGUACAAGCCCCGUACAAGUAGGGUAGCCGGAGCUUUUUUCGAAGGAAAACUUUACGUUAUAUAUAUGGGCUGUGCUAUUUGCACAGGUCCUGUGUACAGGGUGUGAGAGGGGGGUGGACCCCCUGUGCAAGGAGAAAUAUCCUAUAUAUAUAAAGAAUAAUAGAUUUUAAAAAUAAAAAAUAAUAAAAACUUAUUUAAAAACAAAGAACAACUUUAAUAAUUUCACAUAUUUUGGAAGAUAAAAUAUAGAUAAAUAAAUUCAUAUGUUCAAUUUUUUAUUUAAUCAUUUUUUUUACAAAAAAAAAAAUAAACAUAAAUAUUUAACCUUCUAAAAAAUUCACAGAAAUUAAUCUAGCUGUGAGAAAUGAUUUAUGCACCUAUAGACGCAUACUGCUUGAAACUCUAUGCAGUGAGCCCGGAAAGUGCAAUCAAUGGUAAUUCAUUGAUUGAUUUCGGAGAAUGGUCUCUUAAAACGGCUAAAACCUCUGCCGUUUCAUUCUACUUCCAUUCUCCUAUACAUACCCGAUCAAAUUGAACCAAAAUAAAAACUGGAGAAAAAUGUGAAAAGUUCGGUAAGCAGAUUUGUCGAUGAAAAGAAACAACAACCGGCCAGUAAACUUCUCAAAAAUUAUUGCUAUGGCUACAGCCGCAUUGGCAGAUCAAGAACUAAGGGUAUUCAGUAUUCAACCCUUUCUUGGAGUACAUGUAGCCCCGUUUAGUAACAUACAAAAAAUAAGAGAAAUUCAUAAUCAAAUGAAAUUCACGAAUAGAUUUGGAUUUGUAUUUGUAGUUAUAAAAGAAGGACGAGGAGGAGGAGGAGGAGGACGAGGACGAGGAGGAGGACGAGGAAAUUGAAAGACUGCAG
RNAcentral lists this long non-coding RNA (1523 nucleotides) under Olea europaea subsp. europaea. Lineage: Eukaryota; Viridiplantae; Streptophyta; Magnoliopsida; Lamiales; Oleaceae. The record is from RNAcentral.